Molecule: long non-coding RNA, 222 nt
Filed under: Setaria viridis
Lineage: Eukaryota; Viridiplantae; Streptophyta; Magnoliopsida; Poales; Poaceae
Description: long non-coding RNA (SVIR_LNC000451)
Source: RNAcentral
UUAAACACUGCCCAUGGUUCAUUGUAAGGUAGUUAUUAUAUACAUGGAAUGGAUCGCGGUGCCUGUGGUGAAAUGAAUUGACAUCGAUUCAUCUUCUUGUACAGUGGCCCCGCUAAUUGUGUUCACACCUUCCUUUUUCAUUUCAUACUAUCCUUAGUUUUGUAUUUACAACCCAAUACCCCAAUCACACGAAUAACCAGCCUAAUUCGUGGUGAUGCGUUU